ACAGAGGUGGCAAGCGUUGUUCGGAAUCACUGGGCUUAAAGCGCACGUAGGCGGCCUGUCAAGUGCCUUGUGAAAUCCCCCGGCCCAACCGGGGAAUUGCUGGGUAGACUGAUGGGCUUGAGGUAGGUAGGGGCGAGUGGAACUCUUGGUGGAGCGGUGGAAUGCGUAGAUAUCAAGAGGAACGCCGGAGGUGAAAACGACUCGCUGGGCCUGUCCUGACGCUGAGGUGCGAAAGCCAGGGGAGCAAACGG
RNAcentral lists this ribosomal RNA (251 nucleotides) under uncultured prokaryote. Its description in RNAcentral is "partial 16S rRNA". It matches the Rfam family "Bacterial small subunit ribosomal RNA", at positions 525 to 775 of the family's 1533-position model. The record is from RNAcentral.